AUUCGGCCCAAGCGGGGAAGGAUGAGAAGCUUCGACUAAGGUUCGACUCGAGCGCCAGCGAGAGAGCGUUGCCGCAGGCAACGACCCGAAGGGCGAAGCGCGCAGCGCUGAGUAAUCCUUCCCCCACCACCA
Molecule: small RNA, 132 nt
Filed under: Escherichia coli
Lineage: Bacteria; Pseudomonadati; Pseudomonadota; Gammaproteobacteria; Enterobacterales; Enterobacteriaceae
Description: RtT sRNA
Rfam family: RtT RNA
About the family: This family represents a bacterial cis-regulatory element known as RtT RNA. The exact function of RtT is unknown although it is thought that it may be involved in changing the cellular response in relation to amino acid starvation.
Source: RNAcentral